GGCGAACGGGUGAGUAACACGUGAGCAACCUGCCCUGGACUCUGGGAUAAGCGCUGGAAACGGCGUCUAAUACUGGAUAUGAGCUCCUUCCGCAUGGUGGGGGUUGGAAAGAUUUUUCGGUCUGGGAUGGGCUCGCGGCCUAUCAGCUUGUUGGUGAGGUAAUGGCUCACCAAGGCGUCGACGGGUAGCCGGCCUGAGAGGGUGACCGGCCACACUGGGACUGAGACACGGCCCAGACUCCUACGGGAGGCAGCAGUGGGGAAUAUUGCACAAUGGGCGGAAGCCUGAUGCAGCAACGCCGCGUGAGGGAUGACGGCCUUCGGGUUGUAAACCUCUUUUAGCAGGGAAGAAGCGAAAGUGACGGUACCUGCAGAAAAAGCGCCGGCUAACUACGUGCCAGCAGCCGCGGUAAUACGUAGGGCGCAAGCGUUAUCCGGAAUUAUUGGGCGUAAAGAGCUCGUAGGCGGUUUGUCGCGUCUGCUGUGAAAUCCCGAGGCUCAACCUCGGGCCUGCAGUGGGUACGGGCAGACUAGAGUGCGGUAGGGGAGAUUGGAAUUCCUGGUGUAGCGGUGGAAUGCGCAGAUAUCAGGAGGAACACCGAUGGCGAAGGCAGAUCUCUGGGCCGUAACUGACGCUGAGGAGCGAAAGGGUGGGGAGCAAACAGGCUUAGAUACCCUGGUAGUCCACCCCGUAAACGUUGGGAACUAGUUGUGGGGACCAUUCCACGGUUUCCGUGACGCAGCUAACGCAUUAAGUUCCCCGCCUGGGGAGUACGGCCGCAAGGCUAAAACUCAAAGGAAUUGACGGGGACCCGCACAAGCGGCGGAGCAUGCGGAUUAAUUCGAUGCAACGCGAAGAACCUUACCAAGGCUUGACAUAUACGAGAACGGGCCAGAAAUGGUCAACUCUUUGGACACUCGUAAACAGGUGGUGCAUGGUUGUCGUCAGCUCGUGUCGUGAGAUGUUGGGUUAAGUCCCGCAACGAGCGCAACCCUCGUUCUAUGUUGCCAGCACGUAAUGGUGGGAACUCAUGGGAUACUGCCGGGGUCAACUCGGAGGAAGGUGGGGAUGACGUCAAAUCAUCAUGCCCCUUAUGUCUUGGGCUUCACGCAUGCUACAAUGGCCGGUACAAAGGGCUGCAAUACCGUAAGGUGGAGCGAAUCCCAAAAAGCCGGUCCCAGUUCGGAUUGAGGUCUGCAACUCGACCUCAUGAAGUCGGAGUCGCUAGUAAUCGCAGAUCAGCAACGCUGCGGUGAAUACGUUCCCGGGUCUUGUACACACCGCCCGUCAAGUCAUGAAAGUCGGUAA
RNAcentral lists this ribosomal RNA (1308 nucleotides) under Microbacterium testaceum. RNAcentral describes it as "bacterial SSU rRNA". It matches the Rfam family "Bacterial small subunit ribosomal RNA", at positions 97 to 1417 of the family's 1533-position model. The record is from RNAcentral. Lineage: Bacteria; Bacillati; Actinomycetota; Actinomycetes; Micrococcales; Microbacteriaceae.